Molecule: ribosomal RNA, 468 nt
Filed under: uncultured bacterium
Lineage: Bacteria
Description: partial 16S ribosomal RNA
Rfam family: Bacterial small subunit ribosomal RNA
Source: RNAcentral
GACGAACGCUGGCGGCGUGCUUAACACAUGCAAGUCGAACGGAAAGGCCCUGCUUUUGUGGGGUGCUCGAGUGGCGAACGGGUGAGUAACACGUGAGUAACCUGCCCUUGACUUUGGGAUAACUUCAGGAAACUGGGGCUAAUACCGGAUAGGAGCUCCUGCUGCAUGGUGGGGGUUGGAAAGUUUCGGCGGUUGGGGAUGGACUCGCGGCUUAUCAGCUUGUUGGUGAGGUAGUGGCUUACCAAGGCUUUGACGGGUAGCCGGCCUGUGAGGGUGACCGGCCACAUUGGGACUGAGAUACGGCCCAGACUCCUACGGGAGGCAGCAGUGGGGAAUAUUGCACAAUGGGCGGAAGCCUGAUGCAGCAACGCCGCGUGCGGGAUGACGGCCUUCGGGUUGUAAACCGCUUUCGCCUGUGACGAAGCGUGAGUGACGGUAAUGGGUAAAGAAGCACCGGCUAACUACGUG